GAUGAACGCUGGCGGCGUGCCUAAUACAUGCAAGUCGAGCGAACGGACGAGAAGCUUGCUUUUCUGAUGUUAGCGGCGGACGGGUGAGUAACACGUGGAUAACCUACCUAUAAGACUGGGAUAACUUCGGGAAACCGGAGCUAAUACCGGAUAAUAUUUUGAACCGCAUGGUUCAAAAGUGAAAGACGGUCUUGCUGUCACUUAUAGAUGGAUCCGCGCUGCAUUAGCUAGUUGGUAAGGUAACGGCUUACCAAGGCAACGAUGCAUAGCCGACCUGAGAGGGUGAUCGGCCACACUGGAACUGAGACACGGUCCAGAGUCCUACGGGAGGCAGCAGUAGGGAAUCUUCCGCAAUGGGCGAAAGCCUGACGGAGCAACGCCGCGUGAGUGAUGAAGGUCUUCGGAUCGUAAAACUCUGUUAUUAGGGAAGAACAUAUGUGUAAGUAACUGUGCACAUCGUGACGGUACCUAAUCAGAAAGCCACGGCUAACUACGUG
RNAcentral lists this ribosomal RNA (497 nucleotides) under uncultured bacterium. RNAcentral describes it as "partial 16S ribosomal RNA". It matches the Rfam family "Bacterial small subunit ribosomal RNA", at positions 28 to 507 of the family's 1533-position model. The record is from RNAcentral.